UAGUAGGGAUGAUUAAAAUUAAGGCCUUUUUCUCAAAACAUUCGCAGUUACGUUUUAAGAGCUUUUGCCCAGCCAUUUUUGAGAGCUAAUGCUAUCAGAUCCUUCCUUGGAUGUCUUGGGGCA
Molecule: small nucleolar RNA, 123 nt
Filed under: Triticum dicoccoides
Lineage: Eukaryota; Viridiplantae; Streptophyta; Magnoliopsida; Poales; Poaceae
Description: snoRNA SNORD14
Source: RNAcentral